UCUUAACGCGAUCGAGCAUAAAGAAUGCCAUUCGCAACUAAUAAGUGUAAUAGAAGUCCGAAUCCUCUGUAUUAGUUCAAAUUGAACUUUUCUUUAAUUGAUUACACCGUUUCUGAUAACGAAUUAAAACAUCCAAAGUUGUUGUUUUAGACGUUCACCACAGUACAUGACAAGCUUCAGUGACUUUAGAAAAUUGGUCAUCCUGUCGGCACCUGUUUUGAUGUAAAUUUAGGAAAAUAUCUUGGUUUUCUUAACCAUCGAUGGAUAUCAUUCGUUGUAUAUUUAAUAAUUACGGGAAAACAUUUAUUAAGGAAAGUCAGGAAGAUCGUAUUGAUAAUAAAUUUUCUGGCAGACAUA
This is a long non-coding RNA of Zophobas morio, 357 nucleotides long. RefSeq lists it as uncharacterized. Lineage: Eukaryota; Metazoa; Arthropoda; Insecta; Coleoptera; Tenebrionidae. The record is from RefSeq and is a predicted model, not a curated record. The transcript has 3 exons.